This 428-nucleotide ribosomal RNA is filed under the name Verrucomicrobiota bacterium. Its description in RNAcentral is "Verrucomicrobia bacterium partial 16S ribosomal RNA". It matches the Rfam family "Bacterial small subunit ribosomal RNA", at positions 355 to 776 of the family's 1533-position model. Lineage: Bacteria; Pseudomonadati; Verrucomicrobiota. The record is from RNAcentral.
UAGGGAAUCUUCCGCAAUGGACGAAAGUCUGACGGAGCAACGCCGCGUGAGUGAAGAAGGAUUUCGGUUCGUAAAACUCUGUUGUUAGGGAAGAAAAAAUGUAUAGUAACUAUAUACAAAAGAGACGGUACCUAACCAGAAAGGGACGGCUAACUACGUGCCAGCAGCCGCGGUAAUACGUAGGUCCCGAGCGUUGUCCGGAUUUAUUGGGCGUAAAGCGAGCGCAGGCGGUUAGAAAAGUCUGAAGUGAAAGGCAGUGGCUCAACCAUUGUAGGCUUUGGAAACUGUUUAACUUGAGUGCAGAAGGGGAGAGUGGAAUUCCAUGUGUAGCGGUGAAAUGCGUAGAUAUAUGGAGGAACACCGGUGGCGAAAGCGGCUCUCUGGUCUGUAACUGACGCUGAGGCUCGAAAGCGUGGGGAGCGAACAGG